Non-coding RNA from Roseburia inulinivorans DSM 16841, 194 nucleotides. The record is from Rfam. Lineage: Bacteria; Bacillati; Bacillota; Clostridia; Lachnospirales; Lachnospiraceae.
UCCAUCGUGAGGUGGAAUCUGAAGGAAGCCGGAUGUGGGAACAGACUAACCACGGGCAAAUCUUUGGUCUGACGAAUAGAAAUCUCAUAUAAGGUUAUGCAUGAGAGUAAGGCUGCCAACCAAGUCAAAGCUCAAUAACUAUACGGAAUCAUGCGUGAUAAAUGAGGCAGAUGGAUGGAGAGGAAGAAACGUGU